Non-coding RNA from Kwoniella dejecticola CBS 10117, 94 nucleotides. NCBI's taxonomy places the organism in Eukaryota, Fungi, Basidiomycota, Tremellomycetes, Tremellales, Cryptococcaceae. The record is from the annotation of a GenBank genome assembly.
GCUUCGUUGGUGCAGUGGUAGCAUGCCUCAUUUGGGUUGAAACAUUCAGUUUCGGUAUUUGAGGUGGUCCUCGGUUCAAUCCCGGGACGAGGCC